CCAAAUAAUAAUAAUUAAGGAAAAAAAAAAACCUAACACGUUCUCUUUCACAUACGCUCAGAUUUCGAACUCAAUCUCGAUCUCGUCGAUUUCAAACUCAAUCUCGAUCUCGUCGAUUUCUAACUCAAUCUCGCCGAUCGCAAUCUCGAUCUCGCCGAUUUCAAUCUCAAUCUCGCCGAUCGCAAUCUCGAUCUCGAGAUCAAUCUCAAUAUCGCCACCGAUCACGACCUAGAUCUGACUCUUGUUACCGAUCUGUAUGGUUUGUUUUCUUCGAUUGCGCUUUUCAAUCUGCGUCACCCACCGAUCUGCGUUUCCAUAUGAAGAUGUCUUUUUUAACUCAUUUUGAGCAUGUCCAAAUGAAACUUUAAGCCGGCGAGGUGACAGAUUACUAUGCGUAACAUUCCUCUACUUAAUUAUUUACAACAACUCGACCGUGAUGUGAUACCAAGAUAUAUGAACAGUUGGCUUUGUAACUCGACCAACACCAGCUUCUUUAUUAAGAGAUUCUUGGAUUAAAGCCUCUAAGAACUUGGUGUUGGCAAUCAUGGAAACACAAAAUACAGAGAGGAGUUGUAACUCAAACAACCUCAACUUCUUUAAUGAGAGAUUCUUAGAUUAAAGCUUGUAAAUAACUUGGUGUUGGCAAUUUUCAUGAGUGAAUUAUAGAAUACAAAGUGUAGGGUGAUAAUUAACAACAAUAUGUUCUAAAUUAAGGUGGGACCCUUCGAUGUUCAUGCAAAUUGUGGAGAUGGUGUCGUUCUAUUUGACUCCUCCAGCCAACGAGUUCUCACCGAUGAAUGGUGUGUCACCCUCGAGUUACUCCAACAUGGUUCUUCUUAUUACAUGGUUUGUGUUUUUUCUUAUGAUUAAGUAAACAAUGAUGUAGUUACGUUUUAAUGCUAUUAAUUUUUUUUUUCAAUUUUCUUUAACUGUUUCAAGGAGGUUAAGCUGAACCAGCUAGUUUCAAGGAGGUGAAGCUGAAUCAGCUAGGUAUGCGAGAUUCAAAUUAAUAUAUGGUGUAUUUUCUCUAUUGUCAUUCUCUGUUUCUAUUUUUCUCUAUUUAUCUUUGUGUACAACAUGCUAUGCCUAAAGAGGUUUGAUCAGGUAUCUUUAGAUUCUUAUUUUAGUAAAUUACACAUUUGAUUUUACUUUUUAUAUGAUUAAGGUGCUGUCAGGAUCUAGAAGAAGGUGGAGAUCUUGAUACUCUUAUUAUUGGUAAAUAACACAUUUGUUAUAGCUGUCAUAAGAUCAAAAGGAUGAGGUGAGAGUAAUUUAAUAUAUAUUGAAGUUGAACAGAUAAGUUAAUUUUGGAUCAAUAUUCCUUACACUAUGAAUCUAAUGUUUAUUAAUCUUUGAUUGCAGACUUGACUUUAGUAGUUUAAGCUUUAGCCAACAAUGAUCCAAAAGGUUUGAAUCUAUUGGAUUUCACCCUAAUUUAUUAUGCACUUAACUUAUCUUCAUUGUCCAAUGCAAAACAUUUUUAUGACUCUGUCAUGAUGUUUGGUUUUUACAAAUGUGAAGGCAUAUACUUUCAACUAUCUUUUGGAACAACAUGUUGUGGUACUCGUUAUCUAAUAAGCAAUUCUAGGUCCUUUUUUAUCUUUCUAUUUUAUUACUUAAAAAAAGCUUAUUUUAUCAUAACCAUCUGCAAGUAUAUCUCACUGUUAAACAAAGUAAUAUACACAUGUGAUUAUUUAUUUUUAGUAUAGGGUAUUUUUUAACCAAUGAUAUUUUGUAAUGUUAGUGUAAUCAACAAGAUAAUCAGUAUACCAAUUUGUAUUAAAUAUUAAUUAUAUUGCUUAUGUAUACAUGCCUUACAAAAAAAGAAUAUUGCUUGUGUAGAUAUUGUAAGAAUGGCCAUAUAUUAAAUAAUAUUUGAUUGGAUUAUCAAAUGCUGAGAUAAUUGACAUAUAAUAGAUGUUUGUUUCUUUUCCUGUAACUUAAUGGUAAUUGACAUAUCAAUGUCUAUUUUUCAUGUCCUCACUCCAUGACUUUGAUUUAUUGCGAAAGGUAAAGAAUUUUCUUCUCCACAAGAAAAUGUUGAGAAGACGGAGGCAAGGCGGUUUGACUAAUGUGUUUAUUGGGUAUGUUGCCAAUGUUGGAGCCAAUUCUUUCAUUGAUUCGAUCUAUGCAAAAAGCACCUAUUUUGGAAAUCGGAGUUAAUAUAGAACCUGAGUUGUGAUUUCUGAAUUGGAAAUAAAAUAGAAUAUUAUUGUAAUGUAUCAUGUUUUAGUAUUGUUAAAUAUAUUAAAAAAUUGAUUUUAGAAUAUUAUUGUGAUGUUUAAUGUUUCAGUGUUGUUAAAUAUAUUAAAAAAUUAAUUUUUUUGGUUAUUUAAUGACUAGUGUAUUUUUAUUUUAGUAAUAAAGUAAAAAUUAUAUUAUAUUUAAAAAUAAAUUAAUUAAUUUAAAUAAUUAUAAAAAUAUGAAUUAGUCUAAUUAAGAUUUAUUUUAAAA
Molecule: long non-coding RNA, 2454 nt
Organism: Vicia villosa (hairy vetch)
Lineage: Eukaryota; Viridiplantae; Streptophyta; Magnoliopsida; Fabales; Fabaceae
Exons: 5
Source: RefSeq, a predicted model, not a curated record